This 510-nucleotide ribosomal RNA is filed under the name uncultured bacterium. Its description in RNAcentral is "partial 16S ribosomal RNA". It matches the Rfam family "Bacterial small subunit ribosomal RNA", at positions 28 to 507 of the family's 1533-position model. The record is from RNAcentral.
GACGAACGCUGGCGGCGUGCUUAACACAUGCAAGUCGAACGAAGAGCGAUGGAAGCUUGCUUCUAUCAAUCUUAGUGGCGAACGGGUGAGUAACGCGUAAUCAACCUGCCCUUCAGAGGGGGACAACAGUUGGAAACGACUGCUAAUACCGCAUACGAUCUAAUCUCGGCAUCGAGGAUAGAUGAAAGGUGGCCUCUACAUGUAAGCUAUCACUGCAGGAGGGGAUUGCGUCUGAUUAGCUAGUUGGGGGGGUAACGGCCCACCAAGGCGAUGAUCAGUAGCCGGUCGGAGAGGAGGAACGGCCACAUUGGGACUGAGACACGGCCCAGACUCCUACGGGAGGCAGCAGUGGGGAAUCUUCCGCAAUGGACGAAAGUCUGACGGAGCAACGCCGCGUGAGCGAUGACGGCCUUCGGGUUGUAAAGCUCUGUUAAUCGGGACGAAAGGCCUUCUUGCGAAUAGGGAGAAGGAUUGACGGUACCGGAAUAGAAAGCCACGGCUAACUACGUG